GAUGAACGCUGGCGGCGUGCCUAAUACAUGCAAGUCGAGCGAACAGACGAGGAGCUUGCUCCUCUGACGUUAGCGGCGGACGGGUGAGUAACACGUGGAUAACCUACCUAUAAGACUGGGAUAACUUCGGGAAACCGGAGCUAAUACCGGAUAAUAUAUUGAACCGCAUGGUUCAAUAGUGAAAGACGGUUUUGCUGUCACUUAUAGAUGGAUCCGCGCCGCAUUAGCUAGUUGGUAAGGUAACGGCUUACCAAGGCAACGAUGCGUAGCCGACCUGAGAGGGUGAUCGGCCACACUGGAACUGGGACACGGUCCAGACUCCUACAGGAGGCAGCAGUAGGGAAUCUUCCGCAAUGGGCGAAAGCCUGACGGAGCAACGCCGCGUGAGUGAUGAAGGUCUUCGGAUCGUAAAACUCUGUUAUUAGGGAAGAACAAAUGUGUAAGUAACUAUGCACGUCUUGACGGUACCUAAUCAGAAAGCCACGGCUAACUACGUG
This 497-nucleotide ribosomal RNA is filed under the name uncultured bacterium. RNAcentral describes it as "partial 16S ribosomal RNA". It matches the Rfam family "Bacterial small subunit ribosomal RNA", at positions 28 to 507 of the family's 1533-position model. The record is from RNAcentral.